UGAGUAACGCGUGGGUAACCUGCCCUUAAGUCUGGGAUACCAUUUGGAAACAGAUGCUAAUACCGGAUAAAAGCUACUUUCGCAUGAAAGAAGUUUAAAAGGCGGCGUAAGCUGUCGCUAAAGGAUGGACCUGCGAUGCAUUAGCUAGUUGGUAAGGUAACGGCUUACCAAGGCGAUGAUGCAUAGCCGAGUUGAGAGACUGAUCGGCCACAUUGGGACUGAGACACGGGCCCAAACUCCUACGGGAGGCAGCAGUU
This 257-nucleotide ribosomal RNA is filed under the name uncultured Lactobacillus sp. Its description in RNAcentral is "partial 16S ribosomal RNA". It matches the Rfam family "Bacterial small subunit ribosomal RNA", at positions 107 to 355 of the family's 1533-position model. Lineage: Bacteria; Bacillati; Bacillota; Bacilli; Lactobacillales; Lactobacillaceae. The record is from RNAcentral.